Small nuclear RNA from Equus asinus (donkey), 108 nucleotides. The record is from Ensembl. Lineage: Eukaryota; Metazoa; Chordata; Mammalia; Perissodactyla; Equidae.
GUGCUUGCUUUGGCCAGCAUAUAUACUAAAACUGGAACAAUACAGAGAAGAAUAGCAUGGCCCUUGUGCAAGAAUAACAGACAAAUUUGUGAAGCAGUCCAUGUUUUU